UGAGAAGUCAAAAACGACAGAAGUGAUUUCAACACUUCCGAUAUUUCCUGCGUUUCUGGAGCGUGUUUCUUAACCCAGACUUUGUGUUAGUCUGUGCUACUGUGCUUCUGCACAUUUCAUCAGUUGGAAAGAUAUCUUUAUGUCCUUCAAAAUGAUCUUCCUAGUUUCUGACACAGUUCUGUUGUUACCUUCCUGUGAGAGAAUAGUGGAAAUACGAUCCUCAGCUGUACGAUUUUGCAGCCAUGCUAUGCACCUGGAAAAACUGCCCUUCACACUAGAGUAUCUGUAA
Molecule: long non-coding RNA, 289 nt
Filed under: Numida meleagris (helmeted guineafowl)
Lineage: Eukaryota; Metazoa; Chordata; Aves; Galliformes; Numididae
Description: lncRNA (ENSNMEG00000021220.1)
Source: RNAcentral